GAAAGACGUGGAAGGCUACUGUACGAUUCUCUCUAAUCUGCAAAAGCAAGGCCAACGCCCCUCCACUCACCCGCGCAUCCACUCUCUCCUCCUCCUCCUGCUUCACCCGCCUGAUGUGAAAAAACGAUUCAAGAAUCUAUCUUUCCACUUGUUGGAUUCAAAAUGGCGUCUUCUUCUUCACCCGCCUGAUGUGAAAAACGAUUCAAGAAUCUAUCUUUCCACUUGUUGGAUUCAAAAUGGCGUUUCUAUCAUUACAAUUCGUCAAUGGCACAAUUGCUUUGUCAACAACAACCUCAUCAACAACAAUUCUGCCCUCUUUUUCCCCUAUUCUGUCCAAAGUUGCUGCUGCUACCCCUUCUUUUUCUGCAGCUUCUGCAGUUCAAUGUUGCUCUCGAGUCUGCCACCAAGUACCCUCCGCUGGCCGUCCUCCUGCUCCUGGAUUGCAGUCUCCUCAUGAUGUCAAGAUAAACAUUAACAACAACGAAAAAGGUCCUCCCAGUGCGAGAGAACCUGCUGAUGGAGAUUCAGAGAAGGCAGCAGUAGAAGGGAGUGAGAAUGGUAGUGAUGGGGUAUCGGGAAUUGAAGUUCCUAGGCCGAGAUACAUCUCCAUUUCUAAGGCAAGGCUCCUCAACGCCAUCGUUUCCGAGUUGUUCGACUCACAACUCGAGGCCGACCAGUUUCUUCAUCUUUCCAAAUGCUUGGAUUCUAUACUUCUUGCUGAGCACAAAUGCAUCUUAGAGGAAAUGCGGCUUGACUAUGAUCUGACGAAUUCUGUGGAGAGUGAGGGGAAUGUUUACCAAGGUUUAUCUAAUCUGGAAAGAAAAUCUGAAUCAAAUGGAAAGAAUUCUUAUGCUGCCGGUAGCAUGGAAGAAUAUGGGGUGAAUGGGUUUGACAAUAAAAAAUCUGAUCUUUCUUCUGAGUUGGCUUCUCUAUUGGCUUCUUUUUCUGACAAUAUGAAGACAAAUCCCAUGAAAAGGUCUAACCUUCUAUAAUUGUUGAUUUUGUAUGUGUAUUAUGUUGUGUUAUGUUCUGAAAAUAAGUUUCAAGUAAUAUGUUUUGACUAUGGGAUUAUGUACAUGACAAGUAAAUUAAAUCAAUCUUCAAACAUGAACAUGUUAAUCCGAAAAUAACUUGAAGCAAUUCUUUAGAUACAGAUACAGUCAAUUUAUGAGUGAUAGCUUAUGGUUGCUUAUUUGAUAGUUCUAAUGAUGGCCAUAUGCUUUAUUUGUUUUGGGAUAUUACUCGUUGAUUGCUUUAGCAUCUGAUGAUUUGCACUCAUUUGAACUAUAAUAGACUCUAGCUGUAGUUUUUGGUACUAAAUCUACAGUUUGAACAUCAAUCUCUUAGUAUCUCUCUCUUUUUGUUCUUCUACCUCUUAUUACGUUUGUGGGAAAUAUUGUAAUUCUGGUCUUUAUAGGGUUUUCCUCUGGAAAUUAGUAUACUGGAGGUCAUUGAAGGCACUCAUUCUCUGACUAUAUUGAUUAUCUCUUCUCUCUCUUCACCUAUUUUCCAACAUCGUUGAAAACUCAAACCUUCAUUUUUUUUUUUGCGAAUUAGGCAAGCUUUAUUGAUGAUAAGUGGCAAACCAUUAAGUCAACACACUUUUCUGUCCAAUUCUUGUCAAAUGAUCAACUACAGAACACAGUAGGGUGUACGCAUGCAUAUAAGGUCCAGGACUAGAAAAUUGUCCCGUCAAAUAGAUAAAUUUUGAAAUCCCUCCUAAUUCUAUAUGGAUUUCUCCUCUAUCUUUGUCAGCUUGCAUUACCAAAGACAUAAAUGUUUGUAAGUCUCGUAUGCAUAUAAGGACCAGGACUGGAAAAUGUCCUGUCAAACAGAUAAAAAUUGAAAUCCUCCUUAUUCUAUUUAGAUUUCUUCUCUAUCUUCAUCAGCUUGCAUUACCAAAGACACAAAUGUUUGUAAAGAAUUCUCCAUGAUAUACUUGAUCCCUGCAAAAUAAUGUGUAAAAUGUGUACGAGCCUUGUUUGCCAGAUGUCCAACCAUCCUACAUCUUUGUCUUUUGACCAACUGGAAAAGAAUGAUUCAUUUAAUAGAAGGGCGUGCUUUUAGUUCCCCUGGGUUGUGUGGCUGGGGUUUUGUUAUUUGCCAACUGUGUAUGGCCUUCCCGGUUAAGGUAGUACUAUUGGGACAUAAGCACCAUUUUGCUAUUGUCAUGCCAGAUCAUCUAGCCUUCUCUAACCACCAUAGCUCCUGUGCAUGGAUCAGUACUUUAGCAAAAUUUUGACUGGAGCUGAUAUUUAGAUCCUAUGUCUUGAAUGCAGGACUAGAUUAAUUUUGCCGAAAAACGAUAAGAGUGUUAGACAAUAGUCAGAUGAAAAGCACAAAAACAAAAAUAGAUUAUUGAGUACCAUUUAAUAUUCUUUUUCCUGUUAUACUUGAGUAGGGUGGUUUGGAUUCUUUGUUCUUUUCUUUAUCUUUGUCAAGCUUCUUUGUUUGAAAUUGCCAUUUAUGGUUAGAAAGCCAGAGCACUAGUGACAGAGCCAAAAGCUACCCAUGAAUUAUUUUUAAUGAAAUAAACACAAGGAAAGUAUAGUGACAGGCGGGAGAGAGUGAUUGUCCAAAAUGAAAACUAGGCUUAUUAACUGUUGAACUCAAUCACAACUUUCUAUGUUGCAGUUUGUCUUUGAAACAUUUGAUCUGUUUGUAGUUUUUGCUACUGUAGUGUGCACAUUUAUGAAUUGUACAUUUUUUAUCAUCCUUAUUAUUCUUAUUCACUCACCUGGAUGGGUAGAAUGAUUGACCAAGAAGGCUGAUGGCCUAGGUUGCUGACCUCCGUUGCACUUGGGAGGAUGUCCACCCGAGGUCCACCCAAGUGCUAGAGCUUAUGUCAUAAUUCUGCUGAUCCUGAUCUAUUAUCUAAAUCUGUUUGACUAGUUAUUCAGAGUUUUUUGUAGAGUUGCUGUGCAUGCCCGUUUUCAGCGUUCGUUUGUGCAGCUGCUUUCUAGUGCUGAGUUUGAAGAAUUGUCAGUUCGGGAUUUGCUAUUGACAUCCUCUUUAAAUACCGAUUACCUUCUCACUUUGCCAAUAUAUGUUGACUGGAGAAGGGCUUCUGAAUCAAAUGCAAUCAUUUACAGGAGUCUUCACAAGUAAUCACCUCUUGUAAUACAGGCGAGGUCAUGCGACUGAGAGGCAGAAAGGAUUGUUAACAGUUGAAAAACUGGAUUACUUGCAGUCGAUGCUGUUACAAAGAAUUUUCUUUCUCAUAUCAAGACCACUGGGGAAGUUUGGUGUAUGGUUAGCUGAGCAGGUUCUCAAAAGGAACAAACAGAUACGCGAUACAAUAUUGUGGACAGAAAAUCUAAAUGACUGGCUGAAGAAAUUGCCAUUCUUUCAACAAUCAUAUUUGGAUGAUAUAUUCUCAUCCGAAGAUGAGUUGGAAGUUGACCUUCUAACAUCCAGUGACCUUCCUAUCUGGUUAGCAGCUCAAAGGGCAGUAACUCGUUAUGAGGGAAUCUUAUCAACUACUGGGCCCCGUGGCAGGCUCUUGAGAAAGUUACUUACAUGGAUUGGACUUGCACCAUCGGCCCCAGAACAAGCGCUGGAUCUCAAGUCAAGGACCAUUGCUUGUGACUCCAAACCUUACUCAGGGCCUAUAUUCUUGUCAAGGAUAACACUUGGUGAUAUAUGGAGACCUGCUUCACUAAAACAUUGUGGAAAUGAUUUCUGGAAGAUGCUGAAAACUGCCAUUUCCAUUCUUAUCUCUCAAUCAACUCUCCAGGAGCCAGCAUUCAAAGAGUUGAUUCUGCUCUAUACAAAGGAGUUGGAUGGAACAGAUACUGAAGAUAAAGCUAAUGUUCCUCCCUUGGAGUUGAAGAUUUAUGAGAAAAUUCCUAUACCAGAUUUACCAGUUAUAUUUCCUCACAAGAAGCUUUCUUUCCGCAUCCUUGAUGCGGUACGCUUGGAUGUGGCUACUAUAUUGGGACUAUUAGCAUUCUUCAUAAACUACAAGUUUGAGGACAUUUUAUCUUCCCCGUAUGUGCUCAGUAAUUAACUAUUGCUUCUAAAAUUCUCCUUUUCUCGGCAUGUUAUUUCUGAAAAUUUUUCACUUUUAGAUCUACCGAGACUCCUUGUUGUGCAAGGAACAGUCUGGCAAUUUGACAGUUCUGCUGGCCUUUUUCCCCCCUUUCUGUUCUUUAAAAGGUAGAGAUCAUUGUAUAAAAAUUGCACCAGGAUUCAAUCAAGGUACAUAAGUUACCAGAUUCGUAUGGGAUUGAAGCAUUCCGAAUAGGGCUGGGAAAGAUGUAUGCCAUUGCAAAAGGAUCUACAGAACUGGAAAAGACUGUCCCACAAACAGUUUCAGUUUGGAGGAUCUUACUCAUUCCAUCAGACCUACCACUGUUCUGAUUGCCAUGUAGUGAUUUUGAUAUGUACAUAGAUAUCUGUCUGGCAUGUUAGUUAUUAUUUAUCCUUCUAUAAGGUCCCCAGCUGAUAAAAAUUUGAUAAAAAAUCAUAUAUUCUGCCUGGAAUUAUCAGAUUAAAGCUCUCAUAGCUUGGAUUUUAUAGCCUUAUAAUAUUGCAUGCUCCUUUCAAUGUCAUUACGAUACCGCAACAUUAUCAGAUUUCUAAAUUUCUUCUCUGGAGUAAUAGCACUUUGCAUUUAGAUGAGCAUGUUGUGCCAGUAUACUGUUUAAGAGUUUAUUUUAGAAUUGAGCUCAUGAAAAUGCAGUCUAUCAUUCUAGAUUGUGUUUCCCUAUGGAAAGUGAUUAUUAACACCUUAUAGCUGCCUUGUGUUUUCAUAAUGUGGAUGUUGUAAAAAGUUUAUGAUUAAAAGACCUGCUGAAUUUGUUUUGAUUGACAUUUUCAUAUGGCAGCUGCACGAUGUUAUAUUACAUGCUCCUUAAUUUGCGUGUUCUCGUAUUUCCAAUAUUGGUGAUUCAAGGACAAUGUUUUCCUCACCAAUGCCUUUGAUAUCUAAGCCAUAUACUUAAACUAUGUGCUAAUUGACGGUGAGGAUUUGAAUUUCGUCAUCUGAUUCUUGCAGAUCGGCUAUACUUCUGGAUGUAAUUACAGUUAGUGCACUUUUAAUAUAUGUUUUUCGUGUGGUCUUGGGUUAUAAAACUACCAGGGAUCGGUACCAAGACACUUUAUGAGAAAACUGUCGCAAGUGGCUUUGGUUCCGUUCACUUUCUCCUUGAUGCUUCUCAACAACAGCAAUACAAGGAAGCCAUUCUUGCAUAUGCAAUCCUACUUAAAGGAGAGAAUUGCCAGAUGGUUUCUGCAAGGAGGGUUGGAGACGAGUGUGAGAAAUUUAUUUUUGAUGUUUUCAACGAAAAGAUUGAAAUGCCAAUUGACAAGGCAAAGAACACGUUGUUGAGGCUUGGGCUUGUAACGGAAACAGCUUUGGAAGACGGAACUAUACUCCAGGCUGUUCCCUGCUCUAGGGUGGCUGAGAUUCUUAGACAAAAAUGGGAUGGCUUGCUUGCUUAAGUUUGUAUGGUUGAAUAGCGGAUGGUUGAGCUAUGCCCUCUCUGCUUAAGUGAUGCUGUCACCUUGGCUUGUUGCUGAGAUGGGGAACACAAGUUAUUGGUUCUGUUAUGUGAUGGCAUGCAUUGGCAUUCUGGAGCUUUUCUCAUUCAUAAAUGGCAGAGGAAGGAUGUAGAAAGGAGAAUGAGGAUGUUAUUGUGAUUUUCUGUAAAUUCUUUGUUAGGUUAAUCAAUGUUAAUUCAUGCUCUCCAGAAACCACCUGUAUCAUGUACAAUUUCCUCUGGAUUUGGAAGACAACUCCAUGUUUGAAUAAAAUAGAGGAGGAGGAGGUCAUAGUUUGUUGUUACAAACAUUGAUAAUCUUUGCUGUUAUAGCCAUUGAAACUCUUUGAUGGUGAUACAUGUUAAUGUGUGGUUUUAUCAGCUGCACUUGUUCCUUGGGCAGAAGAAAGAAAUAUAUCCAGUUAGGAAAUCCAUUUGACAUG
Coffea arabica (coffee) is the source of this 5926-nucleotide non-coding RNA. The record is from RefSeq and is a predicted model, not a curated record. Lineage: Eukaryota; Viridiplantae; Streptophyta; Magnoliopsida; Gentianales; Rubiaceae.